CCCCCUAAUUUCUCUCAACUUCCCUCAACUUCCCAACCCCCUACACACUGAUAUACACACACGGACACAUUUUGAAAAAAGAGAAGGAAGAGAACAUUGAAAAAAAAGAAGGAAAAGAAACAGAGAGAACAAGAAAAGAGAAAAUUAGAAACUGUAAGUGAUCAAGAGAAAAAACAAAACAAGAAACAAAGAGAAACCAAGAAACAAAACG
Molecule: long non-coding RNA, 211 nt
Filed under: Capsicum annuum
Lineage: Eukaryota; Viridiplantae; Streptophyta; Magnoliopsida; Solanales; Solanaceae
Description: long non-coding RNA (CANN_LNC015909)
Source: RNAcentral